RNAcentral lists this ribosomal RNA (253 nucleotides) under uncultured bacterium. RNAcentral describes it as "partial 16S ribosomal RNA". It matches the Rfam family "Bacterial small subunit ribosomal RNA", at positions 524 to 776 of the family's 1533-position model. The record is from RNAcentral.
UACGAAGGGGGCUAGCGUUGCUCGGAAUCACUGGGCGUAAAGCGCACGUAGGCGGGUCUUUAAGUCAGGGGUGAAAUCCUGGAGCUCAACUCCAGAACUGCCUUUGAUACUGGGGAUCUCGAGUCCGGGAGAGGUGAGUGGAACUCCGAGUGUAGAGGUGAAAUUCGUAGAUAUUCGGAAGAACACCAGUGGCGAAGGCGGCUCACUGGCCCGGUACUGACGCUGAGGUGCGAAAGCGUGGGGAGCAAACAGG